AUGGCAGCUUUGUCUCACUGUAAGGCAACCC
Molecule: non-coding RNA, 31 nt
Filed under: Homo sapiens (human)
Lineage: Eukaryota; Metazoa; Chordata; Mammalia; Primates; Hominidae
Source: RNAcentral